UAGGGCGGGACACGUGGUAUCCUGUCUGAAUAUGGGGGGACCAUCCUCCAAGGCUAAAUACUCCUGACUGACCGAUAGUGAACCAGUACCGUGAGGGAAAGGCGAAAAGAACCCCGGCGAGGGGAGUGAAAAAGAACCUGAAACCGUGUACGUACAAGCAGUGGGAGCACAGGUUUACCUGUGUGACUGCGUACCUUUUGUAUAAUGGGUCAGCGACUUAUAUUCUGUAGCAAGGUUAACCGAAUAGGGGAGCCGGAGGGAAACCGAGUCUUAAUUGGGCGUUAAGUUGCAGGGUAUAGACCCGAAACCCGGUGAUCUAGCCAUGGGCAGGUUGAAGGUUGGGUAACACUAACUGGAGGACCGAACCGACUAAUGUUGAAAAAUUAGCGGAUGACCUGUGGCUGGGGGUGAAAGGCCAAUCAAACCGGGAGAUAGCUGGUUCUCCCCGAAAGCUAUUUAGGUAGCGCCUCGUGAAUUCAUCUCCGGGGGUAGAGCACUGUUUCGGCUAGGGGGCCAUCCCGGCUUACCAACCCGAUGCAAACUGCGAAUACCGGAGAAUGUUAUCACGGGAGACACACGGCGGGUGCUAACGUCCGUCGUGAAGAGGGAAACAACCCAGACCGCCAGCUAAGGUCCCAAAGUCAUGGUUAAGUGGGAAACGAUGUGGGAAGGCCCAGACAGCCAGGAUGUUGGCUUAGAAGCAGCCAUCAUUUAAAGAAAGCGUAAUAGCUCACUGGUCGAGUCGGCCUGCGCGGAAGAUGUAACGGGGCUAAACCAUGCACCGAAGCUGC
RNAcentral lists this ribosomal RNA (791 nucleotides) under Salmonella enterica. Its description in RNAcentral is "bacterial LSU rRNA". It matches the Rfam family "Bacterial large subunit ribosomal RNA", at positions 413 to 1203 of the family's 2925-position model. The record is from RNAcentral. Lineage: Bacteria; Pseudomonadati; Pseudomonadota; Gammaproteobacteria; Enterobacterales; Enterobacteriaceae.